UCCUGAGGUUGGAUGAGACCUUUUGUAAUCUGCCUCCAUUAGCUUAUAGUUCAAAGACCAAGAGUCCACAAGGGACAAGUGAAGGCUAAAAGAUACAGAGAAAAUUAAGAGAAAGCUCAUCGUAAUAGUGCUGGCAUGUAAAAUGUUAACAACAGGAAUUCUGCAGAUGCUGGAAAUUCAAGCAACACACAUCAAAGUUGCUGGUGAAUGCAGCAGACCAAGCAGCAUCUAUAGGAAGAGGCGCAGUCGACGUUUCAGGCCGAGACCCUUCGUCAGGACUAACUGAAGGAAGAGUGCAGGGACAAUGGUGGAUGUUUUGAACAGAAGGGCACUCUACACUAGGAGAGGGAAAGAUUAAAAAUGUCUGUGAACACACCUGCCAAUUGUGGUGUGCACACACUGAAUGCUCGCCCUGGGAUGCCAUCCUGUCCUGCAGCCUUGCGACUGUCCACUCAUUGGAAACACCUGCGUAAUUCCUGUAAUACAAAAUGAUAUACUGAUAGUGCCUUUGGACCCGUGUAGUGGAAUCAGGCUUGGCAGGUGUCUCAUCAAGGGCAACUUUCUCUGUUUCAUGUCGUUCCUGUUAGUGACAUGAUCAUCACUGAGAGGAAGCUGCUCCCGGAGAUGUUACUAAAGUCACUGAACGCUGACCUGACCUCUUUGCAGGAAGAUACAGAAGCUUGAAAACACACUCCACCAGGCUCAAGAACAAUUUCUAUCCUGCUAGCAUAAGACUCCUGACGAGACCUCUUGUAUGUUAAAGAUGAACUCUUGACCUCAUGAUCUACCUUGUCAUGGCCCUUGCUGCUUAAUGUCUAAGUUCACAAUACUUACCCUGUAACUGUAACUCGGCAUUCUGCUAUUCCUUUGUAUUGCCUCAACUUACUUAUGGUUUGAAAUGGAUGGCUUGCAAAACUAAGUUUUUCAUUGUAUCUCAGUACAUAUGACAACAAUAAACCAAUUCCAACUCCAAGUCUUGUUAUUUCUGCAGUCUGGCUUUCACCCGGUUGUUUAUCCUUCUCUUGAAAGUUAGCUUCCAAGUACAGGUCCACAAUCCCUUAUCUGAAAUCCUUAGGGCCAGUUGCAUUUCGGAAUUCAGAAUUUUUCGGAUUUCAGAAAAUUGAUACUUACAUUGAUAAUUGACCUGUCUCAGUGCAGUGGACUUUAGGACCCGGGGGAGCUCCGGACCUAUGCACAUCCUCCCAUAUACUUUAUAAUCAUCUCUAGAUUACUUAUAAUAGUCAUUGUCAUACUUUAUUGAUCCAGGGGGAAAUUGGUUUUCAUUACAGUUGCACCAUAAAUAAUAAAUAGUAAUAAAACCAUAAAUAGUUAAAUAGUAAUAUGUAAAUUAUUCCAGGAAAUAAGUCCAGGACCAGCCUAUUGGCUCAAGGUGUCUGACCCUCCAAGGGAGGAGUUGUAAAGUUUGAUGGCCACAGGCAGGAAUGACUUCCUAUGAUGCUCUGUGUUGCAUCUCGGUGGAAUGAGUCUCUGGCUAAAUGUACUCCUGUGCCCACCCAGUACUUUAUGUAGUGGAUGGGAGACAUUGUCCAAGAUGGCAUGCAACUUAGACAGACACCUUUUCAGACACCACCAUCAGAGAGUCCAGUUCCAUCCCCACAACAUCACUGGCCUUACGAAUGAGUUUGUUGAUUCUGUUGGUGUCUGCUACCGUCAGCCUGCUGCCCCAGCACACAACAGCAAACAUGAUAGCACUGGCCACCACAGACUCGUAGAACAUCCUUAGCAUUGCUGGCAGAUGUUAAAGGAUCUCAGUCUCCUCAGGAAAUAGAGACGGCUCUGACCCUUCUUGUAGACAGCCUCAGUGUUCUUUGACCAGUCCAGUUUAUUGUCAAUUCGUCUCCCCAGGUAUUUGUAAUCCUCCUCCAUGUCCACACUGACCCCCUGGAUGGAAACAGGGGUCACCAGUACCUUAGCCCUCCUCAGGUCUACCACCAGCUCCUUAGCACCAAUACCUAAUACAAUGUAAAUGCUAUGUAAAUAGUCGUUAUACUGUAUUGUUUAGGGAAUAAUGAUAAGGAAAAAAGUCUGUACAUGCUCAAACACCGAGUGCUGGAGAGAAAAUUUCCGGGUUUUCCCAAUCCGUGGUCUUUUACAAAUACUAUUACAGUUUAUUUAUAGAGUAAUAUACUAAUAAGUGAAAUAGUUGGAUAAUUAUAGACCAUAAAUACAUUUUUCCAACAAAAACAUUCAAUAAAACAUAAAAAUAUACAGCUUCAAGCGAGCUGAAUCAAACACAUGGUAAAUGACUUAUUGGAAUAAAAGUAGAAUGUAGAUACUCUAGGACAUAUACAGGUUCAAGCUAAGCUAAGUACAUACAGGUACCUCUAGUUAAGUUGCAUUAUGUCUAGCAAACAAAGCUAAAUACUCUACAGGUACCUGAUGGGCCAGGAACAGAAAUCUCAAGUUAUGAAGCAGCACUACGACAGACGGCGUUUUUAAAGACUUCUUCAAGUGUCAUCUGUCUCAAAAACAUAGGUUUAUGUCUAAGCAAUCUCACUUUAACUGAGUCAACUGCCAUAAUCUCUUGCUCACUGAUAAAUGCAUGUUCAAGACCAGGAAUUAAUUGAUCACACAUUUUCUCCAUAUUGUCAUCAGCCGUUCUUAAUGUUUUUCUAUGAACGUAGCGCCAGUACAAAGCUGUUUUAUUAGCAUGGUAAAUUUGUUCAGGGCUGAGGCUUUUUAUCAGAUAUUAUCUUGGCAAAUUCGUCAAUGUAAUUUUCAGCUGCUUCAUGAUCAGCAGAAGCUUUUUCACCACAGAUUUUCAGAUAUUUUACACCAUGACGCUUCUUAAGUUUCUGCAGCCAACCCUCUGAAUAUUUUCUGCGUUAUUGAUAAUGAUAAAUGUUUCCUUCUCUUUUACUCGUUGUUACCCAUAGGGGUAUCUGCAGCUCUUUUUGACAUUUUCACAGUGAAAUUAAACACAAAGUCAACAGUGAACACAAAAUAUCAGCGAACAGCAAAUGCACGUGUAACCGGUAUGAGCGCUGAGCCACAACUGAUGCCUGGCGGCCUCUGCUAGUGCUGCCACAUCACACCUGAGUGAUGCCAGCUGUUGGCAUGCCAAACAAACCUUGUUACGACAAGCUCCACACUCCACGAGAAAAACUACAGUUUUCGGAUUUCAGAAUUUCAGACAAGGGAUUGUGGACCUGUAUUUAGUAAGAUUGUAUUAAAUAAGAUUUUCAUCCAUGUCAGAAAGGUGCAUCGGCUAUGAUUUAUAAUAUUAUUAUGAAACUUAGGAAAGCUCCAUUUGAUAAGAUUAGGGUAGAUUGGGAACAGGAAUUGGGGCUUACCAUUUCUGUGGAUGAUUGGGGGCAGAUUUUACAAUUAGUUAAUACUUCCUCUAUUUGUGCUAAACAUUCCCUAAUUCAAUUUAAAGUGGUUCAUAGAGCACAUAUGUCCAAAGAUAAGUUAGCGCGUUUUUACUCGCAUAUUAAUCCUUUCUGUGAUAGAUGUUCGGGGCAGAUAGCCUCUUUAACUCAUAUGUUUUGGUCUUGCCCUACUUUGGAAACUUUUUGGAGAGAUAUUUUCAAUAUUAUUUCUAAGGUAUUAAAUAUAGAUAUCUCUCCUCACCCUAUUACUGCUAUCUUUGGACUACCUAAAAUUUCUAGUAAUCUUUCCCCUUCAGCCCGUAGAAUGAUUGCAUUUCUUACUUUAAUGGCGAAAAGAUGUACUUUACAACAUUGGAAAGAGCUUAAUGCUCCAACUACCUUUUUUUGGUUUUCUCAGACGAUUUUAUGUUUGAAUCUGGAGAAAAUUAGAAGUAACCUUUAUGAUUCUUCAUUUAAAUUUGAACAGAUUUGGGGACCUUUUAUUCGAUAUUUUCAUUUAAUGUAAUAUUUACCCUUCUUGUUUUUUCUUCACUGUUUUAAUGGAGGUCGGGAUUGAGGACGUGAUUUUAAGUUUAACUCUGUUUGGUUUCAAGUUAGCCCAUUGCUUUGCUUUGCUUUUAGUUAGUUGCACGGUGGGUUUUUUUUUUGGGGUUUUUUUUUCUUUUUUUUUCCAUUGAUAUAUAUAAAAUCUAGUAUACUAUUAUGUUAUCUUGGUUUCUUAUGCUUAAAUUACAUUGUUUGUAGUAUUUUCUUUUUGGUAUUGUUAUCUUUUGGAAUUUUAUU
This is a long non-coding RNA of Mobula hypostoma (lesser devil ray), 4136 nucleotides long. RefSeq lists it as uncharacterized. The record is from RefSeq and is a predicted model, not a curated record. The transcript has 5 exons. NCBI's taxonomy places the organism in Eukaryota, Metazoa, Chordata, Chondrichthyes, Myliobatiformes, Myliobatidae.